RNAcentral lists this long non-coding RNA (2914 nucleotides) under Equus caballus (horse). Its description in RNAcentral is "lncRNA (ENSECAG00000038677.3)". Lineage: Eukaryota; Metazoa; Chordata; Mammalia; Perissodactyla; Equidae. The record is from RNAcentral.
CCAACAUUCCAGUCUCGCCCUCUCUGAGGUGGGAAAGACCAGGGUUUGAGACUCUGAAUGAGGUCCAAAUGAACCAUUAACAUAACAUCUGCCCAAAGAAAGUUCCAUUCAAAGGAUAAGGAAGACCAGGCGCAUUAGUCUUCUACCCAGAAUCAAGGGAUGAGAGAAGGAGGACCAGUCCCUCAACCCGCUCUAGUGUCAGCAAGCUGCUGUUGCUCUUGAGAAGUCCUUUGUUACAAAAUCCCGUGGCACGGCUUUCUACAGAGAAUUGCCCCCUUUGAAGAUUUGCCCCAGUGGUCGUCGUGUUAGCUGCUUCGGUGAAGAAAUAAAAAGGCAUGCCUUAGGGUAACUUUGGAGUCCACGUGUUGAACAUUCCCUGGGAAGAAACCUGAGUCUCUGAAUGACUCCAUGGAGCAGAGCCCUUUCACACCACCACACACCUACUCUCUGCUCACCUGUUGGUCUGUGAAAUGCAGCAGCAAAAGACCAUAAUGUGUUCAGACACCAAGGAUUUGGGGUUGUUUGUUACAGAAGAUAUCCUAUCCUGAUUUAUUCAAACAUUUAGCCCACAGUAAUGUUUAUUAAAUAGACCUGUGCAAGAAUGGACUGGUCACUUUGGCAACCUGGAAACUGUACUUCAUGCAAGCACCCCAGGAAUGUUUGUUACUCCGAAUGUGUAUCCAUAAUAUUGUCAGUAAGCCACAUUUGCCAAGAAACCCAGGAAAACACUGAAGUUUGCCAGCCUGGAAGAUAAUUCACAUCCCCAGAGUAAAAAAUGCUACUUAUCCGUUCUCAUCUCCAGGCCGCAUGCUAUAUCUGUAUUCACGUUUCAAUAUUGAUUCAAAAUAUCACUUACCUCUUUCAUUGUGGUUUCCUCUCCAAGAUUUAUUUCCUCAGAAAGGUUGGUUCCUCACCAUAGUUACAUAUUUCUGAGAUUAAGUCUUUCUACCUUGCCCUGCUAUUUUUUUCCUUGUUAUUUUACCACAUUAUGUCUUAUCAGUAAGAAUUGACAGCCCCCUGGGAAAGAACUGGUUUGAAAUGAUGUGCACAGUAAUCAGGUGCUUGUCUAAGGAUAUUUCCGUGCAAUGGGAGUUCCUUCAGUGUGGUCUGCAGCCCAGGAUCAUCAGCAUUACCCAGAGAAAUAAAGCAAUGCAGACUCUCAGGACCUAUCCCAGACCUACAGAAUCUAAAUCUUCAUCUUAACUAGAUCUCAAUGUGGUUCCUAUUGUUGAAAGAACUUUCUAGGCCCAAGAUGGAGCCACUCCUGCCCAGGGUGCCACGUCAGCAAACUGAAACUUAGAUAACUUUAGUAACCCCCUCAAUGUCAACUUAACUACAAACGCAGUACAUUCCAGUCAGCCAAUCCCCAAAAGCCAGGCCACCUCUGGGCUCUGUACUCACUUCCUCACUCCUUCUCACCCCAAGGCUGACUAUGUGUCCUAGCCAAUCAGAUAUUUUCUAUUUUCCUCUUCCUUGUUGGUUAUUCUUUAUCCUUUAAAAGCUUCCUGCCUCCAACCCAUCUUUCAGUUCUCCAAAUGGAGACUAUCUGCCUCACAAAAUGUUAAAUCAAGUUUGUUUGUGUCAUCUAAAUUGGCUUCUUUAGUCACUUUUUAACAGUACAUACUUUAAAGCUUGAGAAGCAGAAGUUCUUUCAUGGGCAAGGAGCAUGGGGAGGAGGAGGAGGAGGGAAUCGGAAUCACCAAAGAGGACGUUUUAUGCACGCGUCAGGCUCACCCUGCUCCCCAGAUUCUGAUUCUGCUGUGCCUGAAGAGGCUGCCCAGCAUGGAUUGGGUGGAAGACGUGCUAGAGAUUUGUCUCUCGUGUUUCCCCUCAGUGGGAAGAGUAGUAGGGUGUCAUUUAGUGCUCUGUCUAAGGUGGACCACACAGAUGAUCAAACUCUAGAUAAACAAUUAGCUAUUCUCGACCAUCGUAUCUCCAGUGCAGAAGGCAGUUCUUAGCAUAUAAAAGGAGCUCACUAAUAAAUCGCAAAUGGGAUCCAAAGAGCACCAAAAUCAUGGAUGAAAUAGAUAAACAUGUCAACACCUAGAACAAGCCUUUUUGGUGUGAUCAACAUGAGAUUACCUCCCCUCAUAGUUUCAUUGCUACUGACCAAGCCAAAACUAUUGUUUUUUGGAGUUUAUGGUCUGUUCCAAAUCCAAAUGUCAACAAAAGUAUAGUAGAAUUUGGUUAGGCCAGUGAUUCAAAGCUGCUUGCUGACAUCAUAGAGCACGUAUUCUAAACUUUUGAGGGCUUGUUUAAACCCAAUUAUAUGGCAUGUGAACGGUGGGAACUCUGUAACUGCUGCUGAUAGACUGACAAGAUUCACUCACCACUGGCUUGAGUCUUUGUGAUUCCGUUCAACCUCAAAGGAAAGGAAUUCACAGUCUUCACGAUCCAUUCUGAAGCUGGGCAACCUUUUACCAAUGCAAAGAACUAAUUGCUUCUUUGUCUCUGGAUUGCAUAUUGCUUAUUACUGGCAUGACAUUCCAGUACCCAAGAAGCAUAAAUAGUGAUCCCUGAAGCUGUUGUAACCUUUUCAGACUAUAGCAGCUUGAUCAUUUGCCUCAUUACACUCUCCAGAACUUCUCCUGGAUGACAGCCCGAAACGAAGGGUUCCGCUGGCAUCCUUCAUUAGCACUUUCUUCACCAUUUCCCAGCACAGCAAAUGUCCCGGGAGCACACGCAGAAAACUUCAGCAACCAUCCCUCAGUAUUUUAGUCCUUCAAGUCCCUGGGCACAUUUCCUAACUAUUAAAUCAUGUGUGUGCUUUCAAAACCGUAAGCUUAAUGAGCUUUGCCCACCCCAGCUGGCCCCAAGACAAACCUUUCACUAGAAUAUUCCUCUCGAUGUGAUUUUCCUAUCACAAAUCAGGAACACCAGUGAAAACUCAAAAGCUCACAAAACUAAGAUAAGG